CAGUAGCCGCGGUAAUACGUAGGGUGCGAGCGUUAAUCGGAAUUACUGGGCGUAAAGCGUGCGCAGGCGGUUCGUUAAGACAGACGUGAAAUCCCCGGGCUCAACCUGGGAACUGCAUUUGAGACUGUAUGGCUAGAGUGUGUCAGAGGGGGGUAGAAUUCCACGUGUAGCAGUGAAAUGCGUAGAUAUGUGGAGGAAUGCCGAUGGCGAAGGCAGCCCCCUGGGAUAACAUUGACGCUCAUGCACGAAAGCGUGGGGAGCAAACAGGAUUAGAUACCCCCGUAGUCCCUGUCUCUUAUAC
This 301-nucleotide ribosomal RNA is filed under the name uncultured bacterium. RNAcentral describes it as "partial 16S ribosomal RNA". It matches the Rfam family "Bacterial small subunit ribosomal RNA", at positions 509 to 807 of the family's 1533-position model. The record is from RNAcentral.